Molecule: long non-coding RNA, 4288 nt
Filed under: Canis lupus familiaris (dog)
Lineage: Eukaryota; Metazoa; Chordata; Mammalia; Carnivora; Canidae
Description: lncRNA (ENSCAFG00040001836.1)
Source: RNAcentral
AGCCUGCGUCUUGGCCUGCGGAGCAGAGCAGCCGGGUGGCUGCAGCUCGCACGCCGCCUGACAGGCCCCUCUCCAGAGGCUCCGUAUUAUUACAGUCUGCCCUUCUGCCGGCGUGGAAUUAACUUGUUCCGACUGUGUGACAGUUCUGACGACUACACAGUUUGAGGCAAGGAGCCGGGUCACAUGCUGCUACAUGCAUGGGCUGUCACUAACUGUGCGGCUGAAACCAGACAAACCCUUGUCAGGGGAGAUAAACUCCUCUGGAGACAGAGGGAGACACAAUCAACACUGGCAAGAGGAGAGAGGCAGGGAGAGAGAAACACAGCUGACGACCCGAGGACGCUGGAGGAGACGGGCUGCCAGAAGGUGGCCAAAGACGACAGCGUCCUCGCUCUCGAAAAAUCAGUGAACUCGUCAAAUCAUGCCUAUUCCAUGCUCCCAAGACCUCCAGCAAGAACGAAAGCCAUCAACCUUGGUUUUACUGAGUGGGUCUCUACUGCGUGCUUGACCCUGUGCCAGAGAGAGAGAGCAUGAGCAGGGGCAGAGGGAGAAGGCGAAGCAGACACUCCUGCCAAGCAAGCAGCCCAACAUGGAGCUCGAUCCCAGGACCCUGACAUCAUGACCUGAGCAGAAGGCAGGUGCUUAACUGACUGAGCCAAUCCAGGUGCCCUCUUUCCUCUCUUCUUGGCUGUGCCUGAAGCAAGGCCCUCCUGGUCCCCAGCUAAGAAUCAGCAAGACUGCCUAUCAUUCUAUGACAAGGGUGUACUCCUUAACCUACGCACCCAGACAAUUUGGUUUAUUCUUCUAUCUCCUCCAUCCCCUAUCCAGCUCCAAUGUACACAUGUGGUAGCAACAACCAUCCCUAAAGAGACACACCUUGGAGCUGUAAACAUUUAUUUACAACUGGGACCUUUAUUGGUCAUGUGAACUUAGCUUAUUUAAUCAGAAUUUCUGUUUCCUUAAGUGCAAGGAUUGAUGUAAAAAAGAAAAAGAGGAGUUGCAUGGAAGUGCCCAGCAUGGCAUCUGAUAUUUGGUAGAUAUACAUGCUGGUUUGUUUCAAUCCUCUGAUAGCAACACUGAAUACCUAGGUAAGGGUAAAUUUCUGUGUAACAGCUCUAAAUCCUUAACUUAGGACUGUCGGUUCUCUUUAUUUGUGGAUUCCAUAUACACGAACUCACCUACUCACUAAAACGUAUUGGUAACCCCCAAAUCAAUGCUGGUGGCACUUCUCUGGUCAUUCACAGAUAUACAGAGAGUAAAGAAAAAUUUGGAUCAUCCAACACACACAUUCCCAGUUGAGGCAGAACAAAGUGACCCCCUGUGUCUUCUUUCAGCCUUCACACUGUAAACAAGUAUCCUUUUCACCAUCUAUUUAGUGUAAUCUCUUUCACAUUUUUGAGGGGCUUUUUGGCAAUUUCAUGGUUUAAAAUGGUCUCCAAGUAAAAGAUAGUCUUUUCCAUAAGUGGUGCUAAGAAAAAUGGACAGCUACCUGCAAAAGAAUGAAACUGGAUUAUGUUCUUACACCAUACACAAGAAUUAACUCAAGAUGAAUUAAGGACUUAAAUGUAAGACCAGAAACCAUAAAACUCCCAGAAGAAAACACAGGCAGUAAGCUACUCGACAUUGAUGUAAUAAUUUUUUGGAUCUGUCUUCUUAGGUAAGAACAACAAAACCAAAAAUAAACAAACAAGACUAAAUCAAAUUAAAAAGCUUUUGCAUAAUGAGGGAAAUGAUCAACAAAACAAAGACAACCUACUAAAUGGGAAAAAAUGUUUGCAAAUGAUAUAACUGAUAAGUUAACAUCCAAAAUAUAUAAAGAACUCUGUGCACAGCUCAGUAUCAAACAAGCAACACAAUUAAAAAAUGGGAAGAGAACCCAAAUAGACAAUUCUCCAAAGAUGUACAGAUGGCCAACACAUGAAAAAACACUCAGAAUUACUAAUCAUCAGGGAAAUGCAUUGAAACCACAAUGAGAUAUCCCCUCACAUGUGUCAAAAUGGCUAUUAUCAAAAAGACAACAACAAAAGUUGGCAAGGACAUAGAGAAAAGGGAACCUUCAUGCACUGUUGCUGAGAACACAAAAUGAUGCAGCCACAAUGGAAACUCAUAUGGAGGGUCCUCAAAAAAUUAAAAAUAGAAUUGUCAUACAACCCAGCAAUUCUAUUUCUAGGUAUUCACCCAAAGAGAAGAAAGAUGCUAACUCAAAAAGACAUAUAUUCCCCUAUGCUCACUGCAACAUUAUUUACAAUAGCAAAGAUAUGAAAGCAACCUGUGUCCAUCCACAGAUAACGAACAUGUGGUUAUAUGUAUACAGUAUUACUCAGCCAUUAAAAAAAGAAUAAAACCUUGCUAUUUGCAAUAACGUGUAUGAUCUAGAGGGUAUUGUGCUAAGUGAAGUAAGUCAGAGAAGGACAUAUACCAUGUGAUUUCACUUACUUGUGGCAUCUAAAAAACAACAACAACAACAAACAGAUGCAGAUACAGAGGACAGUCUGGUGGUUGCUAGAGGGGGUGGGGGUGUGCAAAAUAGGGGAAAGGGAUCAACAGCCACAAUCCUGCAGUUGUAAAAUAAGUAAGACAUAGGACUCCUGGGUGGCUCAGUGGUUGAGCAUCUGCCUUUGGCUCAGGGUGUGAUCCUGGGGUCCUGGGAUCGAGUCCUACAUUGGGCUCCCCACAGGCAGCCUGCUUCUCCCUCUGCCUGUCUCUGCCUCUCUCUCUGUGUCUCUCAUGAAUAAAUAAAAUCUUAAAAAAAAUAAGACACAAGGAUAUAACAUAAUAUAUAAUAACUUAAUAUGUAAAAACUUUGUAUGGUGACAGAUAGUAGCUAGAUUUAUGGUGGUGACACUAAUACAUAUAAAUAUUUGAUCACUAUGUUAUACAACUGAAAUAGAAUAUUGUAUGUCAACUACACUUCAAUAAAAAAUUAAGUAAAUAAAAUGACCUCAAGCACAGUGCUGAAGUGCUUUCUAGUAUUCCUAAAUGCAAGAAAACUGUGACAUGCCUUAUAGAGAAAACACAUAUAUUAGAUAGGCUUUGUUCAGGCAUGAAUUAUUGUGCUGUUGGUCAUGCGUUCAAUCUUAACAAAUAAACAAUAUAUAUUAAAUAAGCUUUCUUUUUAAAAAUAUUGUAUUUAUUUAUUUGACAGAGAGAGUGUACAAGCAGGGGGUAGUGGUAGAGGGAGAGGGAGAAUCAGGCUGCCUGCUGAGCAGGGAACCCAAGGCAGGGCUUGAUCCCAGGACCCCAGGAUCAUGACCUGAGCCAAAGGCAGACACUUAACCAACUGAGCCACCCAGGUGCCCCUAAAUAGGCAUCUUUAACAGAAACCCAGACAAAAUAAAUGAUCAGUUCACAAAAAUGUGGAACAGAGUCUUACAGGAACCUAACUCUAUAUUUCCCUUAGAAGCCAACUCAGCUUUUGCUAAUUUAAUGUCUAAAGUAACUUUCUAUGCCAUAACUACCAAGAACAAAGAGAACUGACAUAUAUCCUUUCACAUUUAAUUUCCACCCCCAUUCUUUGAGGCAAAAGGGUAAUCAGAGGAUUGUUCACUGCAUUAAGAAAAAGGGGCAAACUUGAUAGGAAAAGUGAAGUAUCUUAGAGCAAAAAGGAGUUUGGCAGAGGAGAGAGAUGGAGGGCAAUGGGAAUAGACAUGAUCUGUCCACUGGAAAGUGAGGGACUUGGCUUCACCAAAGCAAAGGGUGAAUACUCAAACUCCUGGGGGCACUUCUAUUCCUUUGGGGUCCCUCAAUGUUACUCACAAGUCAUUAGAGAUGACUAGGUGUGUUCCAUCUAUGCUUCUUCCCUCAAAUCUCUUCUAACGAACUUAAGCACUUGUAGGGCACUUAUCUGUAAUUAGCAAGAUAGCAGGUGAUACCCUAAAUCUAUAAUGAAUUUCCAAAACCAGAAUCUGAUGACACAUCAAUAAGAUCACAUUUUUUCAUUUAGUCAACCUCUCAGCUAAUGCAGGGAAGAAGGAUAAAAAAUCUAGUGUGUCUCUAUCUGAACAUCAGCUCUUCUCUUGGACACCUCUCUUGGACAGUAUAGGUACUUAGACAAGUCUAAAUAAAAUUCUAUUAUUUCAGGAAAAUUUAGAAUCCAUGUUUUGGAGACAGGAAGAGAGGCAAGAUAGUCAUCUGGUUCAAUUCCUUCUAUUUCAAAUCAGAACUCUGAAGCUCUGAAGCUCUUCAGAACUCUGAAGCCCAAUGUGACAGAUUGGGGACCACAGCCUAUUGUUUCCAGUGCCCAAUUGAGUGGACUUUCCACAUUUAUAGUAAUUAUAUGUGCAGAUAU